GGCGGUGUAGCUCAGCUGGUUAGAGCGGCGGACUCAUAACCCGCAGGUCACUGGUUCGAGCCCAGUCACCGCCA
Molecule: transfer RNA, 74 nt
Filed under: Terriglobus roseus
Lineage: Bacteria; Pseudomonadati; Acidobacteriota; Terriglobia; Terriglobales; Acidobacteriaceae
Also listed under: 1 other name
Description: tRNA_Met_CAT
Rfam family: tRNA
About the family: Transfer RNA (tRNA) molecules are approximately 80 nucleotides in length. Their secondary structure includes four short double-helical elements and three loops (D, anti-codon, and T loops).
Source: RNAcentral